This 279-nucleotide ribosomal RNA is filed under the name uncultured bacterium. RNAcentral's name for it is "partial 16S ribosomal RNA". It matches the Rfam family "Bacterial small subunit ribosomal RNA", at positions 506 to 784 of the family's 1533-position model. The record is from RNAcentral.
UGCCAGCAGCCGCGGUAAUACGGAGGGGGCGAGCGUUAUUCGGAAUUAUUGGGUUUAAAGGGUGCGUAGGCGGCCUAUUAAGUCAGUGGUGAAAGGUAUCAGCUUAACUGAUGACGUGCCAUUGAAACUGAUGGGCUUGAGUACAGACGAGGUAGGCGGAAUUUAUGGUGUAGCGGUGAAAUGCAUAGAUACCAUAAAGAACACCAAUUGCGAAGGCAGCUUACUAGACUGAGACUGACGCUGAGGCACGAAAGCGUGGGGAGCGAACAGGAUUAGAUA